Oryzias melastigma (Indian medaka) is the source of this 1219-nucleotide long non-coding RNA. RefSeq lists it as uncharacterized. Lineage: Eukaryota; Metazoa; Chordata; Actinopteri; Beloniformes; Adrianichthyidae. The transcript is spliced from 3 exons. The record is from RefSeq and is a predicted model, not a curated record.
AGUGCUUCAGCCCAGCCAGAAGGAAUAGACUCCUGCCGCGCCAAGCGGCCCAGCAUGGGGCCCCACCCCUGGAGGCCCCCCUCGCAGCUCCAGGCGAGCAGUCCAUCACCACCCUGGAGUUCUGGACCCCCCCACCACCACCCAAAACCCAUGGCACGAGCCAGGGCCCCCACGGGAGACCACGCUCUAGGCAACCACCUGCCCAUUCUGAGGGAGGUCUAGGUCCAUCCUCGCCCAGGAGGAGGACGCCCAAGAGAAGUGGAGAUCCCAAAGAGUGAUGUAAAUAUGACCCAACCAGGCUUACCCACUGUUGAAAUUUUGGAGAGGCACAGCACUCGAGGGCAAGGACCAUCAGGGACACGGACACCCCCGGGCUCAGACGUGAUCCCCGGCUCAUGGUCUUGCCAGAGAAGCUUCCCCUUACGUUACCAAGGCCUUGGCUCCCCUCGCCAGGGAUGGGGUAGGGGACAGAAGCUCCCUUGUGCAAUGUAUGUGUCUUUUUGUGUGUGUUAGAGUGGAUAUCGUCGUGGUAAUGAGUUCAUUUGAUAAUUAAACAGCAGGAUAGAAGUCAUUGUUUUUGGAACAAAAGCAAAAGGAUGAAGGUACCCAAAAAGCAGAAAAAUUUCGACUUAUACGUUAUAAGCCUCUUUCAGGUGCAGUAGCUGGUGACUCGGCCCCUCCCACAUUCGAAUAGCCACAUGUAACCCUGCUGUGGUUUUGCGCGGUUACUGUCUCUUUAAUACCUGCUGGCUCGCGCUUAAAUGCAGCGGACGCGCACUUUCGGUGACGUGCACUUCCGGUAAUGACACACGCGUCAGAGGGAGCUGAGCUGUUUUUCCAGCAGAUCAAUUAACCAUUUAGGCGAAGCUGAAACGCCGUGGCGGAGCGCGGGGAUUUGUUUGGCUAAUCAGCUGGCCAGGUCUCUAACUCCUGGGGUUUCCAACACAGAGUUUCACACGAUGACGAGCUACAUGGAGCCCAAAGAGCGUACCACCACUCCCACAGAGCGGUAGGAGAAACUGUCCCACCUGUAUAAGGAGUUCCACUCUAUAAACUAGAAGUUCAGAACUGAUUCCUUUGGCUGGCGACCUCAGGACUAUUUAUAUUCUUCUAUGAAGGAAAAACAUCCCUCAUAAAAGGAAAGGACAUUGUAACAUAUUAUACAUUCUGUACAGAUUCUGCUGUUGUCACUGUAGAAUAUAUACACAUGGUUAUAGUU